CGGGAUAUAGCGCAGUGGUAGCGCAUUUGUUUUGGGAACAAAAGGUCGUGUGUUCGAAUCGCACUAUCCCGA
Cafeteria roenbergensis is the source of this 72-nucleotide non-coding RNA. Lineage: Eukaryota; Bigyra; Bicosoecida; Cafeteriaceae. The record is from the annotation of a GenBank genome assembly.